AUGAUCCCACAGCCAAACAAAUUAAUGGUUAGAUGGUCAGAGUCAGACACACAGACACGGGUUGAGUUGAGAAGAUAUUAUCGUACAUCUGAGGUAGAGAUUGACGGCGUGGUUGAGGAAGCCGCGGCCGGGGACGCCGGUGAGCAGGGAGGUGAUGGGCACGAAGGCCAUGGAGAUGACGUCCGGCGAGGCGGCGACGGUGGCGAGCCACUCGUCGUGGCCCUGCCCGUCGUCGACGCCGCCUCGCCUGACGUGGAUGCCGACGACAUCGUCCUUGUUGUGGAUGACCGGCGACCUGAAGGCGCGCCAGGCAGCGGAGCCGGGGCCGGGAGGUCUCCGCGACGACGACCCGCGGCCCUUGGCGCCGGCGGAGCUCUGCCGUCGGUCCUGCGACUGGGACUGGGAGAAGGUGGCGUCGGCGAGCUUCUUGAGGCGGGCCUGCACGUCGCGCGGCUCGAGGGCGGAGCCCCUGAGCUGCUUGACGCAGACGACGUCCUUGCCCCCCAUCCGGACCCCGACGACGACGUGGGUGCCGUGCGUGUCGAUGAAGGCGGCGAGCGCCGGGGGGUCCCAGGAGGUCGGGACGUCGCGGGCGACGUGGCCGCGGAGGGCGAGGCGCGCGCCGCGGGGGGCCUCGACGGCGUAGAGCUCGACGAGGCGGGCGUCGAAGCAGAGGCUGCGCGUGGCGGCGGCGUCCCGGUGCCAGCAGCCGCGGUAGUCGAACAUGGCGUUGAAGGGGCCCGAGGGGAUCUUGCCCGUGAGCGACAGCGACUGGUUCACGUGCUCCGCCAUCUGCGCGAAGGACAGCACGUCGGAGCGGAACCGCGCGCGCUCGCCCUUGUCGGCGACGACCCCCGCGGGCGCGCCGGCCACCACGGCCCCGCCCGGCAGGCACAGGUCCCGCUCGCCGCCCGCGCCCCCGCCGCCGAGGUCGAGCAGCCGGUCCUUGGCGCGGAAGAGGCGCAGGUCGUCGGCGAGGUCGUAGCCGCAGCCGACCGCGCGCACGGCGGCCUCGGCCGCCUCCUGCGCCGACGGCGGCGUCGCGCGCGCGGCGCCCAGGUCCAUCAUCAUCCCCGCUCCACUCCGCCAGAAGCCAGUUAA
This 1101-nucleotide ribosomal RNA is filed under the name Triticum aestivum (bread wheat). Its description in RNAcentral is "partial small subunit ribosomal RNA". The record is from RNAcentral. Lineage: Eukaryota; Viridiplantae; Streptophyta; Magnoliopsida; Poales; Poaceae.